Molecule: ribosomal RNA, 467 nt
Filed under: uncultured eukaryote
Lineage: Eukaryota
Description: eukaryotic LSU rRNA
Rfam family: Eukaryotic large subunit ribosomal RNA
Source: RNAcentral
CUUUGAGCUGAAUCUCUGCUAUUGCAACCCGAAAGAUGUUGAUCUUUACAAGAAGAGAAUGAAGCCCAGCGAAAGCUGGGUGGAGGUUCGACUUGCGUUCUAACGUGCAAAUUGAUGCUCUCAUUUUUGUAAAGGGGCGAAAUACUCAUCGAAACAUUUAGUAGCUGGUUCCUUUCGAAGUUUCUCCCAGGAUAGCUGUGUUUUAUUAAAGAGUCUUGCCAUGUAAAGCGAACGUUUAGAAGAUUUGGGGAUAACUUUUCCUCUGCUUAUUCACGAACUUUAAAUGGGCACGAAAAAAAGUUUACUUAAUUUUGAAACUUUUAUUGGAUCGAAAAAACAUUAGUGGCUCUUCUGGUAAGCAGGACGGGGCGAGGUGGGAUGCUCCAAGUGUUGUUGGUUAAAGUGCCAAAGUGUUCGCUAAUCUAGAUACCAAAAAGGCGUUUGUUUCAUAGACAGUUGGGCUGUGG